Molecule: ribosomal RNA, 252 nt
Filed under: uncultured Bacteroidales bacterium
Lineage: Bacteria; Pseudomonadati; Bacteroidota; Bacteroidia; Bacteroidales
Description: partial 16S ribosomal RNA
Rfam family: Bacterial small subunit ribosomal RNA
Source: RNAcentral
UACGGAGGAUGCGAGCGUUAUCCGGAUUUAUUGGGUUUAAAGGGUGCGUAGGCGGGUUAUCAAGUCAGCGGUAAAAUCGUGGAGCUCAACUCCAUCCAGCCGUUGAAACUGUGUCCCUUGAGUGCGCGAAGGGUAGGCGGAAUGCGUGGUGUAGCGGUGAAAUGCAUAGAUAUCACGCAGAACUCCGAUCGCGAAGGCAGCCUACCGGCGCGCAACUGACGCUCAUGCACGAAAGCGUGGGUAUCGAACAGG